This 480-nucleotide ribosomal RNA is filed under the name uncultured bacterium. RNAcentral describes it as "partial 16S ribosomal RNA". It matches the Rfam family "Bacterial small subunit ribosomal RNA", at positions 28 to 507 of the family's 1533-position model. The record is from RNAcentral.
GACGAACGCUGGCGGCGUGCUUAACACAUGCAAGUCGAACGAUGAAGAAAAGAAUCGAAGCUUCGGCAGAAAAUCAUUUCGGAUCAGUGGCAGACGGGUGAGUAACGCGUGAGCAACCUACCUCUUACAAAGGGAUAGCCUCGGGAAACCGGGAUUAAUACCAUAUAACAUUGUGACGAAGCAUUUCGAUGCAAUCAAAGCUACGGCGGUAAGAGAUGGGCUCGCGUCCCAUUAACCGGAUGGUGAGGUAACGGCUCACCAUAGUGACGAUGAGUAACCGGCCUGAGAGGGUGAACGGUCACACUGGAACUGAGACACGGUCCAGACUCCUACAGGAGGCAGCAGGGGGGAAUAUUGCACAAUGGAGGGAACUCGGAUGCAGCGACGCCGCGUGAGUGAGGAAGGAAUUCGGUUCGUAAAACUCUGUUCUAUGGGAAGAAAAGGACGGUACCAUAGGAGAAAGCGCCGGCUAAAUACGUG